This 742-nucleotide ribosomal RNA is filed under the name uncultured bacterium. RNAcentral's name for it is "bacterial SSU rRNA". It matches the Rfam family "Bacterial small subunit ribosomal RNA", at positions 335 to 1064 of the family's 1533-position model. The record is from RNAcentral.
ACUCCUACGGGAGGCAGCAGUGGGGAAUUUUGCGCAAUGGGCGGAAGCCUGACGCAGUAACGCCGCGUGGAGGACGAAGGCCUUCGGGUCGUAAACUCCUGUCAGGGGGAAAGAAAGACUGGUUGAGAAAAUAUUUCUUCCGGUUCUGACGGUACCCCCAAAAGGAAGCCCCGGCUAAUUCCGUGCCAGCAGCCGCGGUAAUACGGAAGGGGCAAGCGUUGUUCGGAAUCAUUGGGCGUAAAGGGCGCGUAGGUGGUCUUAUAUGUCCGUCGUGAAAGUGCACGGCUCAACCGUGUUUGGUCGGCGGAAACUGUAAGACUUGAGGCUGGGAGGGGCUAGAGGAAUUCCCUGUGUAGCGGUGAAAUGCGUAGAGAUGGGGGAGAACACUCGUGGCGAAGGCGUCUAGCUGGACCAGUCCUGACACUGAGGCGCGAAAGCGUGGGUAGCAAACAGGAUUAGAUACCCUGGUAGUCCACGCCGUAAACGAUGGGCACUAGGUGCCGGCGGUAUUGAUCCCGUCGGUGCCGGCGCUAACGCAGUAAGUGCCCCGCCUGGGGAGUACGGUCGCAAGGCUGAAACUCAAAGGAAUUGACGGGGGCCCGCACAAGCGGUGGAGCAUGUGGUUUAAUUCGACGCAACGCGAAGAACCUUACCUGGAUUUGACAUGUGCAGGAUCGGCAAUGAAAGUUGUCUUCUCUUCGGAGCCUGUGCACAGGUGCUGCAUGGCUGUCGUCAGCUCGUG